CCUACGGGAGGCAGCAGUCGAGAGGCUUUCCACAAUGGGGGAAACCCUGAUGGAGCGACGCCGCGUGGGUGAUGAAGGUCUUCGGAUUGUAAAGCCCUUUCAGCAGGGAAGAAGGGGAUGGUGCUAAUACCAUCUAUCUUUAGACGGUACCUGCAGAAGAAGCUCCGGCUAACUCCGUGCCAGCAGCCGCGGUAAG
RNAcentral lists this ribosomal RNA (196 nucleotides) under uncultured Banisveld landfill bacterium BVB23. RNAcentral's name for it is "partial 16S ribosomal RNA". It matches the Rfam family "Bacterial small subunit ribosomal RNA", at positions 338 to 524 of the family's 1533-position model. The record is from RNAcentral.